This 2199-nucleotide long non-coding RNA is filed under the name Olea europaea subsp. europaea. Lineage: Eukaryota; Viridiplantae; Streptophyta; Magnoliopsida; Lamiales; Oleaceae. The record is from RNAcentral.
CUUUUGAGCUGAUUCAGUAUUCUCGUGUGAAACCGUGUCGAGACGCAGUAUUUGACAUCUGAAAAGAUGCAGACUACAAAGAUAUUCAAAGUCUUGAUUCCAAUUCAAAUAUCCCCAACUCCCUUCCUCGCACACACGCUGACACGCCAAUGACCCAAUUCCAUAAACAAUAUUCUAAUUUAUCAAGCUUUCCCAAUAAGACUUCAUUAAACUCAUUCUCCUUUAAUUUGUUUUUAUUUUUGUUAAGGAUUCAUGGUGUCAAAGAUUUUUCUUGUUUCGGGAUUCUUUUACUUGUUUUUCUGUGAUUUUUUUGCCGCUGAAGCUUUUAAGAGUUUGACUUUCAAUGAUACGGGCAUAGAAUUUCCUGAUCAUUCGAGCUUCAAUUCUGUUUCUUCCUCAUUAGAUUCAGAUUGUAGCUUCUCGGAAUCGAAGAAAGGAUAUACCCCCUUUAAUUUUACGCCGGAAAAUGGACCGGCCCCGUCAGUGAAGCUUCAUCUAAAGCACAGAUCAGAUGGGCGAGAAAUUAACGGCAAAGAUCGUUUAAUGGAGUCUACAGCGAAGGAUUUGACUCGGAUUCAGACAUUGCACAAGAGAAUUAUAGAGAAAAAGAACCAGAACACCAUUUCAAGAGUAAAGAAAGAUGGUGGUCAACAGUUUUCUUCGCCGGAAAGUGGGUUUUCCGGGCAGCUGACGGCCACCCUUGAAUCAGGAGUCAGUCUUGGUUCAGGAGAGUACUUCAUUGAUGUCUUUGUGGGUACACCUCCUAAACAUUUCUCUUUAAUUCUUGAUACUGGUAGUGAUCUUAAUUGGAUUCAAUGUGUUCCUUGUUAUGAUUGUUUUGAACAAACUGGCCCUUAUUAUGACCCCAAUGAUUCGAUUUCGUUUAGAAAUAUAAGCUGUCGUGAUCCACGGUGUCACCUAGUUUCAUCGCCUGAUCCUCCACAGCAAUGCAAUGCUGAGAAUCAGAGUUGUCCUUAUUAUUAUUGGUAUGGAGAUAGUUCUAACACAACUGGUGAUUUCGCACUCGAAACUUUCACUGUUAAUCUCACGACACGGAAUGGGAACACAGAAUUUAGGAGAGUCGAAAAUGUGAUGUUUGGAUGUGGUCAUUGGAAUAGAGGUCUAUUUCAUGGUGCUGCUGGAUUGUUAGGGCUUGGAAGAGGGCCACUUUCGUUUUCGUCGCAGCUUCGAUCUUUUUAUGGCCACUCGUUCUCGUAUUGUCUCGUGGAUCGAAAUAGUAAUGCGAAUGUUAGUAGCAAGUUGAUUUUUGGUGAGGAUAAAGACCUUUUGAGCCAUCCUGAAUUGAAUUUCACUUCAUUUGUUGUGGGAAAAGAAAAUCCGGUUGAUACAUUCUACUAUGUCGGGAUUAACUCGAUUAUAGUUGGAGGAGAGGUUCUGAAUAUACCAGCAGAGACAUGGGAUUUGUCACCGGAAGGUGCUGGUGGAUCUAUCGUCGAUUCAGGGACUACGUUGAGUUACUUUGCUGAUCCGGCUUAUAGGAUUAUUAAGGAGGCUUUUGUAAAGAAGAUCGAGGGAUAUCCGGUUGUAAAAGAUUUUCCGAUACUCGAUCCUUGUUAUAAUGUUUCUGGAGCGGUGAAAUUGGAUAUGCCCUCGUUCGGGAUUCUGUUUAGUGAUGGAGCAGUAUGGAAUUUCCCAUUAGAGAACUAUUUCAUCAAGCUCGAGCCGGAAGAGGUGGUUUGUUUGGCAAUUUUGGGGACGGCCCGCUCGGCUCUAUCCAUUAUUGGCAACUACCAACAGCAGAAUUUUCACAUAUUGUACGACACGAAACAGUCGAGACUAGGAUUCGCGCCAACAAAAUGUGCUGACAUAUAACGUUUUCUGACUUACUGCAUAGUUAUGGGGCUGGUGGAAAACUGUAAACAUACCUGGGUCGUGUGUAUCCAUGUACAUGGAUACAUGUCACUGUUUACUUACAAAAGGAGGUAAAAUGACAUGAUACUGAAUCCUUUCCCAUCCUUUUUUUUUUUUUUUUUUUUGGGAUUUAGGCUUAUGCAAUUCAUAUAUUGAUUGAUUACUACACAACAUAAUCUGUUUUCUUUCUAAGCUGUAUGCAAAAAAUUUGAAAUGUUUCUUAGAUCUACAAUAAAGUUGCUUGCUUAUUUGUGAAACAAUUUAGGGUUCAAAAGACCCCUACACCACUUUCGUUGCUAAAAUGUUCAUGGGUGCAUGUUUGGUAAA